RNAcentral lists this ribosomal RNA (253 nucleotides) under uncultured bacterium. RNAcentral describes it as "partial 16S ribosomal RNA". It matches the Rfam family "Bacterial small subunit ribosomal RNA", at positions 524 to 776 of the family's 1533-position model. The record is from RNAcentral.
GACAGAGGGGGCAAGCGUUGUUCGGAAUUACUGGGCGUAAAGGGCGCGUAGGCGGCCUGCUAAGUCGAACGUGAAAUCCCCAGGCUCAACCUGGGAACUGCGUCUGAUACUGGAUGGCUUGAAUCCGGGAGAGGGAUGCAGAAUUCCAGGUGUAGCGGUGAAAUGCGUAGAUACCUGGAGGAAUACCGGUGGCGAAGGCGGCAUCCUGGACCGGCAUUGACGCUGAGGAGCGAAAGCCAGGGGAGCAAACGGG